Cucurbita maxima (winter squash) is the source of this 951-nucleotide long non-coding RNA. RefSeq lists it as uncharacterized. The record is from RefSeq and is a predicted model, not a curated record. The transcript has 4 exons. Lineage: Eukaryota; Viridiplantae; Streptophyta; Magnoliopsida; Cucurbitales; Cucurbitaceae.
UACGACAUAUUGGAUCUACGCUUUUGAGGUGCAGACGAAUUCACCAACAACUUGUCGUCCUUUAAUAGAUAAGAUAAUGCGAGAAUAUUCUCUCAUUGACGUGGACAACACGACACCGUUGCGGGAUGGUAUAAACAUUCAGUCCGAAGUCGAAGCCGAGCUCCAAAUGGAAGAAACACUGCAAAUGGGAACGGAGGUCAAUGAAUCAAAUGGAAGUCAAAAUCGCUCUAUUUUGUAGCGUCUUUCGCAGUGCUUACGAUCUUAUUUACUGUCGGACGGCUCAGGGAGCGAAGGAGUGUUCGUAGUUCGUGUUAUUUACGAGAUGAUGAUCACAAGCCUCAGUACGCAUUUAAAACGUGUCUUGGCUGACAAUUCUUAUUCUGCGUUCAAACACUUGAAGCUCAAUAUGAAUAAAGGUAGAGAUUGCCCGCUGUCUUAUUUCAAAUAUGAUAUUGAGUUUAGCUGCUGAAACUGUGUUGUUAUUAGUACCAAAUGAAAUGUUUACUGAUGGAAUGGUAUGAUAAGCAGCUAUAAUUCAAGUUUUUAAUUGUAUUUAUCAUUGUUUGUCUCGGAAAGUUGGUUUCAGGGCUUUUUAAGCUGAAUAUUUUCCAUGGUGCAACAUGAUAUAGGGGAAUGGAAAUCUGGAAGAUUUUAUGUUUAUAGUUUUUGUUGAACAGCUAGCGAUGGAGUUAUCAGUGCUCGAUGAUCUUUUGUAUUUUAAGAUUAAGUUGGCGGCCUUGUCUUUGUCCCAUUCUUCAUAGCUUAUAGUGCAUUGGAGCUUAACUACUAUUUAUGGAGUUCAAGUCUGCACCACUUCCAGGAUGGCUACUGCCCUACACAUUAUUACCAAUCCUUCUCUAAGGUUGAUAUUGACAAGGUCAGCAUCAAACCAAUUAAACAAAGACUCAUUCAUCCAGGUAAACAUUACUAUUUUAAUUAAUCUAGCUUCUG